GGUGAGCAACUAUUCUGGUUUGCCUGGGACUGAGGAGCGUCCUGGGGUAUGGGGCUUUCAAUGCUAAAACCAGGAGAGUC
Molecule: microRNA precursor, 80 nt
Filed under: Pteropus vampyrus (large flying fox)
Lineage: Eukaryota; Metazoa; Chordata; Mammalia; Chiroptera; Pteropodidae
Description: miRNA (ENSPVAG00000027402.1)
Source: RNAcentral